This is a long non-coding RNA of Sphaerodactylus townsendi, 1196 nucleotides long. RefSeq lists it as uncharacterized. The record is from RefSeq and is a predicted model, not a curated record. The transcript is spliced from 3 exons. Lineage: Eukaryota; Metazoa; Chordata; Lepidosauria; Squamata; Sphaerodactylidae.
AUGAUGCCUUUAUAAAGAUUUCCAAACGUCAACCAAGCCUUAUAACAAGAGUGUAAUAUUUUUUAAUAGCAGGAAAAUAAGUGUCAAUACCGGCUUUAUUUAUUUAUUAUUUAAAAUUGUUAUUUUUUUCACAUUACAACAGAUCUAUUUAUCUUAUUUUAAUAUAUGUCAAAAUAGUGAGAUAUUUUCAGGGUCUCACAACAACUGCAUUUUGACCAGUUUACUAGUCAGCACUUUAUAAAACAAGUAUUUGGAAAGUCAGUCUUGCUGGGAUAACUAAAAACUUGUAGUUAUUCACAGAAUGAAUAAAAAAGCAAUGUGACAGAAAUAGGUGUACUUCAAAAAUAUAGGACCAGAGUUGACUGAAUGACAACUUGUAGAUUUUGUUCCCUUAUCCAAGCAAAACUAAUGAUAGCUAUUUCUUUUGAAGUUUCAUAUUAUGUUGACUUUAGUUUACUGUCAGCAUGUGAAACUGUGUAUAGUUUACCUUUUAUGUGACUCCCAACUUUAAAGAUGAAUCGGUCUGAGAAAAAAACCACCUUAGUUCACCGCAAAAAAAUAUUUACCAUUUUGUAAAAUGAAACCACCCCUGGUUAAAACUUUUCUUAUUUAAAAACUUGAUUUUGCCCCUCUGGGAAAAUGGCCUCCCUCAUACAUGUGUCUAUGAUAGCUAAAUACCGACCUCCAUUUUCCCCCGAAUACCAGAUGCUAGAGACAAAACAAUGGGGAGGGCUGCUGCCCUUAUGUCCUGUUUGUGCCAUCUCUAGCUCUGCACUUCUCAGAGUCAUCUACUUGGCCACAGUGCAGAAUAAUAUUCUGGACUGAUCCAGUGGGGUUUUUCUUAUGUUCUUAUGAAAAUGGUAUUUAAAAAACCAAAAAGAAUCUUAUGCCAUAUGUUUUAGUGAUACUAUACUUCUCUCAAAGCAUAUUGUUUGCCUGCUACAGUCUUCUAUUUGGAAUGACACCUGUGAGACACUGUAGUACAAAAAUUAAAUUUAGUUUUUUGCUUGUUUGCUAUCCGUUGCAGAAUAAAUAGUGCCUCAUUCCUACUUUGGAUUCAGACAGUGAAUGGUUCAGCAAAACCCCCCACACACUAGAGCUUCAAAAAAGUUGCCAAGAUUUACCUCUAGUGUCUGAAAAUUAAAAACAAAAUUCCUGGCACCUUCCUUGUGUAAUAUAAAAUACUGUAACUGAAA